Molecule: ribosomal RNA, 730 nt
Filed under: Streptococcus pasteurianus
Lineage: Bacteria; Bacillati; Bacillota; Bacilli; Lactobacillales; Streptococcaceae
Description: bacterial SSU rRNA
Rfam family: Bacterial small subunit ribosomal RNA
Source: RNAcentral
CGUGCCUAAUACAUGCAAGUAGAACGCUGACUACUUUAGCUUGCUAGAGUAGAAGGAGUUGCGAACGGGUGAGUAACGCGUAGGUAACCUGCCUACUAGCGGGGGAUAACUAUUGGAAACGAUAGCUAAUACCGCAUAACAGUGUUAACACAUGUUAGAUGCUUGAAAGAUGCAAUUGCAUCACUAGUAGAUGGACCUGCGUUGUAUUAGCUAGUUGGUGGGGUAACGGCCCACCAAGGCGACGAUACAUAGCCGACCUGAGAGGGUGAUCGGCCACACUGGGACUGAGACACGGCCCAGACUCCUACGGGAGGCAGCCAGUAGGGAAUCUUCGGCAAUGGGGGCAACCCUGACCGAGCAACGCCGCGUGAGUGAAGAAGGUUUUCGGAUCGUAAAGCUCUGUUGUAAGAGAAGAACGUGUGUGAGAGUGGAAAGUUCACACAGUGACGGUAACUUACCAGAAAGGGACGGCUAACUACGUGCCAGCAGCCGCGGUAAUACGUAGGUCCCGAGCGUUGUCCGGAUUUAUUGGGCGUAAAGCGAGCGCAGGCGGUUUAAUAAGUCUGAAGUUAAAGGCAGUGGCUUAACCAUUGUUCGCUUUGGAAACUGUUAAACUUGAGUGCAGAAGGGGAGAGUGGAAUUCCAUGUGUAGCGGUGAAAUGCGUAGAUAUAUGGAGGAACACCGGUGGCGAAAGCGGCUCUCUGGUCUGUAACUGACGCUGAGGCUCGA